Molecule: long non-coding RNA, 804 nt
Organism: Pecten maximus
Lineage: Eukaryota; Metazoa; Mollusca; Bivalvia; Pectinida; Pectinidae
Exons: 2
Source: RefSeq, a predicted model, not a curated record
AUAUCCAGUACUAUGGAGUGGUAAGGUAUAGUGUCCUAUACAGUGAUCAGGGAAUACACCUGUACUGUAGAGGGUAUCUGAGUUCACUGAAUAGAAAGUGCUGAGCCAGGGUCACUGAGGCGUAACCAAAUCAUGCAAUACAGGUAAGUGCUACCUGUGUGUGCGGCCAUAUCAACCCCAGACCUGGAUAUGGAAGGUUCACUGAUGUCAGAGGCUGUGUGCCAGGAGGGAAAUGCAUAAGCUGCGUGCUUGGUAAUGAGAUGUUACCAGGGCUGUGUGCCCAAAGUUAUCAUCCAAGUUAGAGAUAGUUGAAGCCACUACAUGUAAGCUGUGUGCUAGUUUGGGCAAAACUUUGCUACUUGGAGAAGCUGUGUGCUAUGUCCACCUCAAUGGAGUGUGGGAGUCCUGGAAUGAAAGAGGAGAGUGAGCUGUGUGUUCAGACGUGCUAAAGAGAGACGCCAAAAGUGACCUUGGGACAGGGAGCCUGUAAUAUCUAUGUGCCAGACCCAUAGUAGGAGCAGCAGAAUCCCUGUAUAUUGAUGUGAGACCAGAAGGGAAAUAUUUGUGCUGGACUAGUACAGUACCUAAGGAGGGUAUAUAUUAUCUAUUCCUAUAUUGAUAGUGAUUAAGUAAACGACAUCGGAGUGAAAGGAACUUUGGGAACCAACCACAGUGAUGAACUGUACAUAUAUUUGGUGUCCGGAGAGACAAUGGGUUUCAGAGACGGGUUUUGUUUUUGUGUUGCACAUUAUUAAUUCCUAUGAUUUUGUAAAUAUGUUCAUGUGAAUACAUAUGUUACUUUGA